GAUCAUGGCUCAGAACGAACGCUGGCGGCAUGCCUAACACAUGCAAGUCGAACGGGAUCCAGACUUCGGUCUGGUGAGAGUGGCGGACGGGUGAGUAACACGUGGGAACCUGCCUUUUGGUUCGGGAUAACCGCGGGAAACUGCGGCUAAUACCGGAUGCUCCCGAGAGGGAAAAGAUUUAUCGCCAGAAGAGGGGCCCGCGUCCGAUUAGGUAGUUGGUGGGGUAAAGGCCUACCAAGCCGACGAUCGGUAGCUGGUCUGAGAGGAUGAUCAGCCACACUGGGACUGAGAUACGGCCCAGACUCCUACGGGAGGCAGCAGUGGGAAUAUUGGACAAUGGGGGCAACCCUGAUCCAGCAAUGCCGCGUGAGUGAUGAAGGCCUUAGGGUUGUAAAGCUCUUUUGCCAGGGAAGAUGAUGACUGUACCUGGAGAAUAAGCCCCGGCUAACUUCGUG
RNAcentral lists this ribosomal RNA (455 nucleotides) under uncultured bacterium. RNAcentral's name for it is "bacterial SSU rRNA". It matches the Rfam family "Bacterial small subunit ribosomal RNA", at positions 15 to 507 of the family's 1533-position model. The record is from RNAcentral.